This 76-nucleotide transfer RNA is filed under the name Dactylosporangium sp. RNAcentral describes it as "tRNA-Met". It matches the Rfam family "tRNA". Rfam says of the family: Transfer RNA (tRNA) molecules are approximately 80 nucleotides in length. Their secondary structure includes four short double-helical elements and three loops (D, anti-codon, and T loops). Further hydrogen bonds mediate the characteristic L-shaped molecular structure. tRNAs have two regions of fundamental functional importance: the anti-codon, which is responsible for specific mRNA codon recognition, and the 3' end, to which the tRNAs corresponding amino acid is attached (by aminoacyl-tRNA synthetases). tRNAs cope with the degeneracy of the genetic code in two manners: having more than one tRNA (with a specific anti-codon) for a particular amino acid; and 'wobble' base-pairing, i.e. permitting non-standard base-pairing at the 3rd anti-codon position. Lineage: Bacteria; Bacillati; Actinomycetota; Actinomycetes; Micromonosporales; Micromonosporaceae. The record is from RNAcentral.
UGCGAGGUGGAGGAGUUCGGUCGUCCUCGCCGGUCUCAUAAGCCGGAAACCGCGGGUUCGAAUCCCGCCCUCGCUA